RNAcentral lists this ribosomal RNA (301 nucleotides) under uncultured bacterium. RNAcentral describes it as "partial 16S ribosomal RNA". It matches the Rfam family "Bacterial small subunit ribosomal RNA", at positions 509 to 807 of the family's 1533-position model. The record is from RNAcentral.
CAGCCGCCGCGGUAAAACGAGGGGGGCAAGCGUUGUUCGGAAUUAUUGGGCGUAAAGGGCGCGUAGGCGGUUUGACAAGUCUGAUGUGAAAUCUCUGGGCUCAACCCAGAGUCUGCAUCGGAAACUGUCGAGCUUGAGUAUGGGAGAGGUGAGUGGAAUUUCCGGUGUAGCGGUGAAAUGCGUAGAUAUCGGAAGGAACACCUGUGGCGAAAGCGGCUCACUGGACCAUUACUGACGCUGAGGCGCGAAAGCUAGGGGAGCGAACAGGAUUAGAUACCCCAGUAGUCCCUGUCUCUUAUAC